RNAcentral lists this transfer RNA (42 nucleotides) under Patella ferruginea. Its description in RNAcentral is "partial tRNA-Met". Lineage: Eukaryota; Metazoa; Mollusca; Gastropoda; Patellidae. The record is from RNAcentral.
AGACAGGGUUCAUACCCCGUCCAUACGUUCAAAACGUUCUUA